AAAAAGCUUUGCGUUAAGGAUGGAGUGGCUUGUUUGAGCUCUUUUUUGUUGUUUUUCGCAACUAAAAAAGCGAGUAACGACAGCCUGACCCAAA
Molecule: small RNA, 94 nt
Filed under: Lutibacter oceani
Lineage: Bacteria; Pseudomonadati; Bacteroidota; Flavobacteriia; Flavobacteriales; Flavobacteriaceae
Description: Flavo-1 RNA
Source: RNAcentral